GCCAGACAAGCCGCAGGAGUGAGCGAGGCCGGCUGCGCAUGUGAAGCUCGCGUGCCCGGCGACCCGUCUCUUUUGGAUGUAGCCCGUCUUUUGGGCUCCCGGCGUUCUCUUGUGUUCCGUCUGCAUUUCGACACGGCACCGAUGCACUAGUGGACUACAGCAAGCUGAAGGCAUCUGGUGGAGCUUCGUACGGCAACGACUGCUGCUUACCUGGUGCCAAAAAUUUGGAAGAAUGCAGAAGCCCGGAACGAGCAUUUAUAUAGAGCAAAAUAAACAUUUCAUCAUUUCAGAA
Molecule: long non-coding RNA, 292 nt
Filed under: Dermacentor andersoni
Lineage: Eukaryota; Metazoa; Arthropoda; Arachnida; Ixodida; Ixodidae
Description: uncharacterized LOC126543034
Source: RNAcentral